This is a long non-coding RNA of Canis lupus familiaris (dog), 2222 nucleotides long. RefSeq lists it as uncharacterized. The record is from RefSeq and is a predicted model, not a curated record. The transcript is spliced from 3 exons. Lineage: Eukaryota; Metazoa; Chordata; Mammalia; Carnivora; Canidae.
GUCGUUGGGAGGAUAAAAAUAAUCUAUGGACUAGAGGAAGCGCUCAAAGGAUAGCUGUAUUAUCCACACUCAAGCGAACCGGGGAAGAGGAUUCCCCAAAUCGGCCGGCUGUGUCCCUGCUGAGGCCCAGCCCUCCAACUUGCUCAAGAUGAUCUGGAUGUUAUGGAUUCUUUUUGAGUUGAAAGAAGAAGAUGCAGCCAGGUCCUGUCCUGCAAUGGAAGGUUCUGCAAUGGAAGGGCAUCAUUGCCUAUGAGCAAGUUAGCGGAGCAGACCCUGCUCUUUCCUCCUCCCCCGAUGACAGUAGCUGAAAGAUGGACACAACCCAGUCUCUGUCAACAGAUAAAUGGAUAAACAAAACGUGGUGUGCGAUACAAUGGAAUAUUAUCCCGCCAUAGAGAGGAAUGCAGUUGUGCCACAUGCUACAACACAGACGAACCCUGCAGACGUUGUGGUAGGUGAAACAAGCAAAUAAGCCAGAGACAAAAAGCACACAUAUUGUCUGAUUCCAUGUAUAUGAAAUAUAUAAAAGAGGAAAUGUCAUAGAAACAGAAAGUAGAGCUCACCAUGGGCUGGGGGAAGACGUUAUUGCUUACUGGGUACUGGGUUUCUAUUUGGAAUGAUGGAAAUGUUUUUGGAAACAGAUGGUGUGAUGGUUAUACAACAGUGUGAAUGUGAUUAAUGCUACUGAAUUGUACACUUAGAAAUGAUUAAAAUGGCAUCCUUUAUGUUAUAUACAUUUUUUCCCACACACAAAAAAAGUGUGGUUCUAUCUUUCAGACUCUUCUCCUAUGAUAUGGUAACAUCCAAAUUAGAGAAAUGAACGCCACCUGCCCUUUUUAUAUUCCCUACAGUCACAAGUGUGGGCUCCGGACACAAUUUGCCUGGGUUCAGAUCCUCCCUUGGGUCCUUACUACCUGUGCCAUCUGGGGCAAGCUGCUCAAAAUUUUGAGCUUCAGUUCCCUUUUAUGUAAACUGGAGAUAAAAAUAAUCUGUAUCUCAUAGACACUAUGAGAUGCUUACAUCGUGCCUGGUAUGAAGGAAGUGCUUAGGAAAUACGAUUUCUUCCUGUUCCUUGAAAAGCACCACUAUAGUGGCAGCAGAAGGUAGGGUGCAUCAGAGCCGGGUGCCCAAUGGUGCUAGGGCCAAAGUACUAAUCCCGAUUUCCCAGGAUGCUCCUUACUGAGGUGGGAAGCCUUGGCUCUCAUCCCCAGAUGACCGGAAGACAACAAGCCACACUCCUUGAGGCUCUACCUCAAGCCCGCUCCAUCCUUCCCACUUUAGGUAGAGAGAUCAUUCUAGUCCUUCAGUAGAUAGCACCUUGCAGCUCUUGAAUCCAGUCCACACUCAUGAAUACCCCUUUCUGCUCCAACCAUGUUGACCUGCUUGCAGCUCCACCUGGAAGGCUCCUACCUCGCCACCUCUCCUGGCUCUCGACUCCCCUUCCUUUCAGCCUGACUCACCAGGGCUGAGUUAGAUGCUUCUCCUCUGAGCUCACAUAAUGCCCCUUCCGCCCUCCCUGGCAUCGCCUACUCACUCUGAUGUUAUUACCUGUUUCCUUAUCAUGUCUUAAGAUAAGAUUAAGCUCCUUAGGCUAUUAUUAACCUUUAAUCCCCAGUGCCCAGAACAGUGCCCAGAACAGUGCCCAUAGUGCCUGGCUCAGAGGAACGCAUGCUGGUUGAAUAGAGGAAUGAAUUUGAACAGAUAGAAGAAUAGAUGGAUGAUCUGGCAUUGGUUCUACAAGUUGCAUCAGGUUGUAAGAUGGCAAUACCAGCUCCUAUCGGCCGUUGGCAUCUUUCAGACCUUCAUUAGACCAGUAUGGACCCUUGACAGGAUGUCGAUUUUAAUGGGAAAUAGUGACAGCCUAGGUUCCAAACAAGGCAGGUGAGUGACUGUUGGUUUUUUAGAAACUUACUGCCCCCUACUGUCUGUUUUUAAAUAGAUUUCCACCCAUGGUUUCAGUUCCUUCAAGACCCUCUAAACCUACCUCGUUCUUAACUUUCCUACUUCCACUGCUGGUGGCACCAUUUAUGGGAGCUACUAACACUUAAAAUCUUUUCUUAUUCUCCCGUAGCCCCUCAGAUCUCUGCAAUCCCUCAACCCAUUAACGUGACCUCCCAUCUCUACCCACUUUCCUAUUCUUACUAUUACCAUUAAAAAGUGCUUGUAAGAACAAAGCUCUAUUAAAGAAUGUUUUCCUCUGCAUUGGGAAAUCAUCAAGGCCA